ACAUAUGGCAAUGACCAGUAAACUCAUGUUAACCAAUCGAUCUCACAACUGUUAAUUUAGCACUAAUUUUGCUUUAAAAAUUGAUCUUUUAAUUGUUGAUAAGUACAUUAAUUGAUAUUUUGAAUGUUGACUGUUAUUAAAGAUGAUGAGCAAGACCUCAAUUGGUUCCAGGUCACAAUUUAGUCCAAAAUUUGUAAGCCUUUCAAGUUGCUGUUGGAAAUAUGCUACGUAAUAGAUAUACUUUGGGUGAAACGUUAAAUAAUACCAUCAUCAUCAGCGUAAUUAUUGUUGAAUCAAGGUUGACCCUGUCUCACAAUUUGGUUAAAUUGUUGUCAUUUUGAUACUGGACACUUUAUUAAUAUUAACAACUUCACAACUCCAUCAUUUCAUGCUGUUGAACACUAAAUCAAAAUCAUCUCUUUUUUAUCAAUAGAUAUAAAAAACGAAUGGAAAAUGGUUGAAUCAAUGGUUUAAUUGGCGAUUGGCUAUGCUUUCAUGAUAAUUGAAUAUCCAAAUAUAAUAACGAUUUUAAGGGUUACGUUAUAAUUGUGGUUUACUAAUUCCAUUAUUGUUGAUGGUGAGUGGAAACAUGCCAUUAUAUCGACUACCAAUCUUGAAUUGUGUGAACCUUUGUACUUUAUAACAGUCCAUAUGAUUAACUAACCAUCCUAUUCAAUGUUAUUCAAUAUUAGCUAAUCAAUUUGUGUUGACCAAUAUCAGCUGAAUGGGUGAUGAUAGUGUUGAAAUAGUUAGUUGUUAACAGCAAUUUUAUAAGUAAACAUGAAAUGCUUAUUACAAUUGAUCAGAAAAAGGUUUUAUAAUGGAUGUUAACACAUGUGUUUUCAUGUGUUCACCAAUUCAUUUAUCACUAAAAUGGUCUCAAUCUAUUGUACUAUUUGCAUUUGUUUCCAGAUUUUCAAUGUCAGUUCAACCAAUUACAGAUGAUAUUCAAGGUCAAAUGAUUGUUAAUCAACUUAAUUCAGGUCACAAAUAUCUUUGGAAACAAUUAAUAGAAAUCAGAUUGAAUGGAAGACGAUUUACAACCAAUCCGUUCACCAAAGCUUAUUGUUGAGUCCUGUUGAUUUUUGUUGGUAUUUCAAGUGUUGCUUUCAUCUGUAAAAAUGAAUUAAAUUGAAGUUAAAUAUAUCGAUAACAUUUAAAAUGAAUUAUGAAGGAAAAGGUGCAAAAAUUUUACGAUUACAAGGAUAAUUAAAUAACAUUUUCAUGGGAAAACUGUAAAUUAUUAUUAAAUAUAAUUCUGGUGUUUCCUUUAAAA
Molecule: non-coding RNA, 1276 nt
Organism: Tetranychus urticae (two-spotted spider mite)
Lineage: Eukaryota; Metazoa; Arthropoda; Arachnida; Trombidiformes; Tetranychidae
Source: RefSeq, a predicted model, not a curated record